Molecule: ribosomal RNA, 739 nt
Filed under: uncultured Corynebacterium sp.
Lineage: Bacteria; Bacillati; Actinomycetota; Actinomycetes; Mycobacteriales; Corynebacteriaceae
Description: bacterial SSU rRNA
Rfam family: Bacterial small subunit ribosomal RNA
Source: RNAcentral
GACGAACGCUGGCGGCGUGCUUAACACAUGCAAGUCGAACGGAAAGGCCCUGCUUGCAGGGUGCUCGAGUGGCGAACAGGUGAGUAACACGUGGGUGAUCUGCCCCUUACUUUGGGAUAAGCCUGGGAAACUGGGUCUAAUACUGGAUAGGACCAUGCUGUAGGUGGUGUGGUGGAAAGAUUAGUUUCGGUAAGGGAUGAGCUCGCGGCCUAUCAGCUUGUUGGUGGGGUAAUGGCCUACCAAGGCGUCGACGGGUAGCCGGCCUGAGAGGGUGGACGGCCACAUUGGGACUGAGAUACGGCCCAGACUCCUACGGGAGGCAGCAGUGGGGAAUAUUGCACAAUGGGCGCAAGCCUGAUGCAGCGACGCCGCGUGGGGGAUGACGGCCUUCGGGUUGUAAACUCCUUUCAGCCAUGACGAAGCCCUUGUGGUGACGGUAGUGGUAGAAGAAGCACCGGCUAACUACGUGCCAGCAGCCGCGGUAAUACGUAGGGUGCGAGCGUUGUCCGGAAUUACUGGGCGUAAAGAGCUCGUAGGUGGUCUGUCGCGUCAUUUGUGAAAGCCCGGGGCUUAACUCCGGGUUGGCAGGUGAUACGGGCAUGACUGGAGUACUGUAGGGGAGACUGGAAUUCCUGGUGUAGCGGUGAAAUGCGCAGAUAUCAGGAGGAACACCGGUGGCGAAGGCGGGUCUCUGGGCAGUAACUGACGCUGAGGAGCGAAAGCAUGGGUAGCGAACAGG